Molecule: ribosomal RNA, 433 nt
Filed under: uncultured bacterium
Lineage: Bacteria
Description: partial 16S ribosomal RNA
Rfam family: Bacterial small subunit ribosomal RNA
Source: RNAcentral
AACGAACGCUGGCGGCAUGCCUAACACAUGCAAGUCGAACGAGACCUUCGGGUCUAGUGGCGCACGGGUGCGUAACGCGUGGGAACCUGCCCUUAGGUUCGGAAUAACUCCCCGAAAGGGGUGCUAAUACCGGAUAAUGUCUUCGGACCAAAGAUUUAUCGCCUUUGGAUGGGCCCGCGUUGGAUUAGCUAGUUGGUAGGGUAAAAGCCUACCAAGGCGACGAUCCAUAGCUGGUCUGAGAGGAUGAUCAGCCACACUGGGACUGAGACACGGCCCAGACUCCUACGGUAAGCAGCAGUGGGGAAUAUUGGACAAUGGGCGAAAGCCUGAUCCAGCAAUGCCGCGUGAGUGAUGAAGGCCUUAGGGUUGUAAAGCUCUUUUACCCGGGAUGAUAAUGACAGUACCGGGAGAAUAAGCUCCGGCUAACUCCGUG